This 468-nucleotide ribosomal RNA is filed under the name uncultured bacterium. RNAcentral's name for it is "partial 16S ribosomal RNA". It matches the Rfam family "Bacterial small subunit ribosomal RNA", at positions 28 to 507 of the family's 1533-position model. The record is from RNAcentral.
GACGAACGCUGGCGGCGUGCUUAACACAUGCAAGUCGAACGGAAAGGCCCUGCUUUUGUGGGGUGCUCGAGUGGCGAACGGGUGAGUAACACGUGAGUAACCUGCCCUUGACUUUGGGAUAACUUCAGGAAACUGGGGCUAAUACCGGAUAGGAGCUCCUGCUGCAUGGUGGGGGUUGGAAAGUUUCGGCGGUUGGAGAUGGACUCGCGGCUUAUCAGCUUGUUGGUGGGGUAGUGGCUUACCAAGGCUUUGACGGGUAGCCGGCCUGAGAGGGUGACCGGCCACAUUGGGACUGCGAUGCGGCCCAGACUCCUACGGGAGGCAGCAGUGGGGAAUAUUGCACAAUGGGCGGAAGCCUGAUGCAGCAACGCCGCGUGCGGGAUGACGGCCUUCGGGUUGUAAACCGCUUUCGCCUGUGACGAAGCGUGAGUGACGGUAAUGGGUAAAGAAGCACCGGCUAACUACGUG